This is a long non-coding RNA of Panthera uncia (snow leopard), 1758 nucleotides long. RefSeq lists it as uncharacterized. The transcript has 3 exons. Lineage: Eukaryota; Metazoa; Chordata; Mammalia; Carnivora; Felidae. The record is from RefSeq and is a predicted model, not a curated record.
GGGGAAAACUGGAGACCGGGCGAGAGCAGCGGAGCUUCCCAACCACACACUUCCUCCCUCCGUUUGACCCAUCCGGGGAGGGCGGGGGCUGCUGAGCUGGCAGUCCCACUGUUUAUCCGACCUGGUGCUCUGGCUUGGGCGGAGACAGUACCUCGAGCUCCGAGUGCCUUCUCCCACCUCCUCUGCCCUCUAGGCUUCAAGGGAAACAGAAGUUCUUCUCAAGUUAAACAACAAAGUGAAACGUCCUGUAUCCAAGUCAUAUGUAGAUAUGAACAAAGAGCAAAGAAUUUGUCCUGGAAGUCCUCGUAUUCUUCUCCUCAUCUUCCUGGUCACCUAUAAACUGAUCAUUGAGAAAGAGAAUGGGCUCACAAUGAAAGUCAGGUUUUACACUAGUCUGUUUUGCCCUGAGCUGUGGAGAGGAUCAAGAUCCCAGAGGAAUGGAUACUCCAACUGGGUGGGAACCAGGGGCUGAGAUGUCUUCACCUACCUCCUUCCCUUCAACAGUGAGUCCGGUCACAUUUCUACAGUCAUCCUUCCAUCUGGGUCUGCUCUGAAGGCAGUGGGUGUCGGAUGCCGUCACUGCAGAAGUCCGUUGCCCAAGUGGGCAUCUCUGCCUGCUAGACUGGACGGACUGCACAGUAAUACAAGUGUUCCACUUUGUCAUUGAUAUCUUCAUUUGCAUAUGGAAAUCUUUUUCUCUUCCUUUCUAAGUGCAAUUUUAUGUUAAUCCCAGUGAAAGGAAUGGGUGUGCAGGCCGGAAGUGGGUGUGUCCUGGGCUGUAGGGUUGCAGAGGUAUCUAAAUGCUUAUGUUAGAAAGCUGCGGGAACAGUUGGUCUGGUAUUACUGUCACCUGAGACAGGUAGAACCAAGCAAGGUGGGACCAAGGUGGAGAGGGCACAUUUCUGGGGUGAAGUGCUACCAUCUACUGCGUCUUUCCACGUCAACUCAAACCAAAAGACAAUUAUUGCAUAUCAACUGGCCACCCCUGCAUUUGUAGGGUAAAUUGUUAAAUCAUCGUUCAAUAAAGCAUAUUCCUACUGCUAGAAUUUCUGGGAGCGUAGAAUUCUCUAGACACGAAGUAGCUUGGACCAAAAAUCAGGGCCUGAGAUUUGGAGCAUCUUCCACUGUGACUGUUGGUCUAGGACUCAUAUUUGAGCCUACGUUAAUUUCUCUCUUUACUAGGCGUUUAUAUUCAUCUGGGCUUUUUUUAUUAUAUCUUGCUCUGGAAACCUGCCCUGGAAGGCAGCUAUUGACCCUGGUCUCCUGCCCUGUCAUUUUCUCUCCAAUUUUUGGCUUUAAAAAAUCCUUUCUAUUUAUCGAUCUAUCUUUAUUUAUUUUUGAUGGUACUUUAAAAAAAUAACUCAUGCCCCUGGUUAAAAAAAAAAAAUCAAAUAGUACAAAGGUUGUUAGAUAUGUCUGUCUUCUGUAGGUGCCUCCUGGAUUCCCCAGUGUGAAAACUGUUUAUACCACAGAUCCAAGGCAGGCUGUUCAAACUUACCUGUCACAUUUGGUAAAGACCUUCCAGUCAUUUUAUGUGAAUAUGUAACAACCUUUAGACCAUGGGAGAUAGAAUGGUUUGAUGUGGGCACUGCCACCUACAGGAUUUGCUCAUGUUGGGGAGACCCGAUGAGGCGUGAAAGUUAAAUAAUGCCAAGACAAAUAUGUGGUUAGUCACCAAACUGAUUUACACCUAGGGCACUACCGUGUAUGUGGCGUAAGCACCAAUGAUGAUGAAAUGCCACUCUGGAGUAUUUGAGA